AUUGAACGCUGGCGGCAUGCCUUACACAUGCAAGUCGAACGAAGCCUUCGGGCUUAGUGGCGCACGGGUGCGUAACGCGUGGGAAUCUGCCCUUUGGUUCGGAAUAACAGUUGGAAACGACUGCUAAUACCGGAUGAAGACGAAAGUCCAAAGAUUUAUCGCCAGAGGAUGAGCCCGCGUAGGAUUAGCUAGUUGGUGUGGUAAGGCGCACCAAGGCGACGAUCCUUAGCUGGUCUGAGAGGAUGAUCAGCCACACUGGGACUGAGACACGGCGCAGACUCCUACGGGAGGCAGCAGUGGGGAAUAUUGGACAAUGGGCGAAAGCCUGAUCCAGCAAUGCCGCGUGAGUGAUGAAGGCCCUAGGGUUGUAAAGCUCUUUUACCCGGGAUGAUAAUGACAGUACCGGGAGAAUAAGCCCCGGCUAACUCCGUGCCAGCAGCCGCGGUAA
This 448-nucleotide ribosomal RNA is filed under the name uncultured bacterium. RNAcentral describes it as "partial 16S ribosomal RNA". It matches the Rfam family "Bacterial small subunit ribosomal RNA", at positions 30 to 523 of the family's 1533-position model. The record is from RNAcentral.